GAAGCAACCACACACUGAGCACAAGAAUGAUGAUAGCAAUGAAGUUGAGGAAAUAAAUAGCAUACCCCUGGCAAGCAAAGAUUUGCAACCUAGAGAGAGCAUGGAGUCUCUGUCGCUGGAAGUUUAUGCACGUCUGGGAUGGUUUAGACAGGUAUGAUCCUGCCUUGAG
This is a long non-coding RNA of Gavialis gangeticus (Gharial), 169 nucleotides long. RefSeq lists it as uncharacterized. The transcript has 3 exons. NCBI's taxonomy places the organism in Eukaryota, Metazoa, Chordata, Crocodylia, Gavialidae. The record is from RefSeq and is a predicted model, not a curated record.